GGGUUGUGAGGUUAAGCGACUAAGCGUACACGGUGGAUGCCCUGGCAGUCAGAGGCGAUGAAGGACGUGCUAAUCUGCGAUAAGCGCCGGUAAGGUGAUAUGAACCGUUAUAACCGGCGAUUUCCGAAUGGGGAAACCCAGUGUGAUUCGUCACACUAUCAUUAACUGAAUCCAUAGGUUAAUGAGGCGAACCGGGGGAACUGAAACAUCUAAGUACCCCGAGGAAAAGAAAUCAACCGAGAUUCCCCCAGUAGCGGCGAGCGAACGGGGAGGAGCCCAGAGCCUGAAUCAGCAUGUGUGUUAGUGGAAGCGUCUGGAAAGGCGCGCGAUACAGGGUGACAGCCCCGUACACAAAAGCGCAUGUGCUGUGAGCUCGAUGAGUAGGGCGGGACACGUGGUAUCCUGUCUGAAUAUGGGGGGACCAUCCUCCAAGGCUAAAUACUCCUGACUGACCGAUAGUGAACCAGUACCGUGAGGGAAAGGCGAAAAGAACCCCGGCGAGGGGAGUGAAAAAGAACCUGAAACCGUGUACGUACAAGCAGUGGGAGCACCCUUUGGGGUGUGACUGCGUACCUUUUGUAUAAUGGGUCAGCGACUUAUAUUCUGUAGCAAGGUUAACCGUAUAGGGGAGCCGGAGGGAAACCGAGUCUUAACCGGGCGUUAAGUUGCAGGGUAUAGACCCGAAACCCGGUGAUCUAGCCAUGGGCAGGUUGAAGGUUGGGUAACACUAACUGGAGGACCGAACCGACUAAUGUUGAAAAAUUAGCGGAUGACCUGUGGCUGGGGGUGAAAGGCCAAUCAAACCGGGAGAUAGCUGGUUCUCCCCGAAAGCUAUUUAGGUAGCGCCUCGUGAAUUCAUCUCCGGGGGUAGAGCACUGUUUCGGCUAGGGGGCCAUCCCGGCUUACCAACCCGAUGCAAACUGCGAAUACCGGAGAAUGUUAUCACGGGAGACACACGGCGGGUGCUAACGUCCGUCGUGAAGAGGGAAACAACCCAGACCGCCAGCUAAGGUCCCAAAGUCAUGGUUAAGUGGGAAACGAUGUGGGAAGGCCCAGACAGCCAGGAUGUUGGCUUAGAAGCAGCCAUCAUUUAAAGAAAGCGUAAUAGCUCACUGGUCGAGUCGGCCUGCGCGGAAGAUGUAACGGGGCUAAACCAUGCACCGAAGCUGCGGCAGCGAACGUAUCACUUAAAGCGAUUCAGCGGGUUACGAUUGACGGAGCGAAGCGACGUCAAAGCGUAUACAAAGUCGAGUCGGUUUAAGGAUACGUUCGUUGGGUAGGGGAGCGUUCUGUAAGCCUGUGAAGGUGGCCUGUGAGGG
RNAcentral lists this ribosomal RNA (1319 nucleotides) under Salmonella enterica subsp. enterica serovar Mikawasima. RNAcentral describes it as "partial 23S ribosomal RNA". It matches the Rfam family "Bacterial large subunit ribosomal RNA", at positions 1 to 1269 of the family's 2925-position model. Lineage: Bacteria; Pseudomonadati; Pseudomonadota; Gammaproteobacteria; Enterobacterales; Enterobacteriaceae. The record is from RNAcentral.